ACACGACUACAUUAGAUACCCCGGUAGUCCUAGGCGUAAAUGAUGCGAGUUAAGUGUGGGGGCAUCUACGAGAUGGCCCUGUGCUGUAGGGUAGCCGUUAACCUCGCUGCCUGGGAAGUACGGUCGCAAGGCUGAAACUUAAAGGAAUUGGCGGGGAGCACCACAACGGGUGGAGCCUGCGGUUUAAUUGGACUCAACGCCGGAAAUCUCACCGGAUAGGACAGACAUAUGAUAGUCGGGCUGAAGGCUCUACUUGAUGAUCUG
Molecule: ribosomal RNA, 264 nt
Filed under: uncultured archaeon
Lineage: Archaea
Description: partial 16S ribosomal RNA
Rfam family: Archaeal small subunit ribosomal RNA
Source: RNAcentral